GGGGAAUAUUGCGCAAUGGGGGGAACCCUGACGCAGCCAUGCCGCGUGAAUGAAGAAGGCCUUAGGGUUGUAAAGUUCUUUCGGUAUUGAGGAAGGUUGAUGUGUUAAUAGCACAUCAAAUUGACGUUAACUACAGAAGAAGCACCGGCUAACUCCGUGCCAGCAGCCGCGGUAAUACGGAGGGUGCGAGCGUUAAUCGGAAUAACUGGGCGUAAAAGGCACGCAGGCGGACUUUUAAGUGAGGUGUGAAAGCCCCGGGCUUAACCUGGGAAUUGCAUUUCAGACUGGGAGUCUAGAGUACUUUAGGGAGGGGUAGAAUUCCACGUGUAGCGGUGAAAUGCGUAGAGAUGUGGAGGAAUACCGAAGGCGAAGGCAGCCCCUUGGGAAUGUACUGACGCUCAUGUGCGAAAGCGUGGGGAGCAAACAGGAUUAGAUACCCUGGUAGUCCACGCUGUAAACGAUGUCGAUUUGGGGGUUGAACUUUAAGUUUGGCGCCCGUAGCUAACGUGAUAAAUCGACCGCCUGGGGAGUACGGCCGCAAGGUUA
RNAcentral lists this ribosomal RNA (546 nucleotides) under uncultured bacterium. RNAcentral describes it as "bacterial SSU rRNA". It matches the Rfam family "Bacterial small subunit ribosomal RNA", at positions 356 to 896 of the family's 1533-position model. The record is from RNAcentral.